UGAAAGGCCCUUUUAAGGGCCACCAUACUUCAAGCAGAUGUCAU
Molecule: non-coding RNA, 44 nt
Organism: Operophtera brumata (winter moth)
Lineage: Eukaryota; Metazoa; Arthropoda; Insecta; Lepidoptera; Geometridae
Source: Rfam